This 506-nucleotide ribosomal RNA is filed under the name uncultured bacterium. RNAcentral describes it as "partial 16S ribosomal RNA". It matches the Rfam family "Bacterial small subunit ribosomal RNA", at positions 28 to 523 of the family's 1533-position model. The record is from RNAcentral.
GAUGAACGCUAGCUACAGGCUUAACACAUGCAAGUCGAGGGGUAACGAGAGGAAAGCUUGCUUUCCUUGUCGACGACCGGCGCACGGGUGAGUAACGCGUAUCCAACCUGCCCCCAACUAGGGAAUAACCUUGCGAAAGUAAGACUAAUACCCUAUAAUUUCCUCAGAUGUCAUCUGACGAGGAAUAAAGAUUUAUCGGUUGUGGAUGGGGAUGCGUCUGAUUAGCUUGUUGGCGGGGUAACGGCCCACCAAGGCAACGAUCAGUAGGGGUUUUGGGAGGAAGGUCCCCCACAUUGGAACUGAGACACGGUCCAAACUCCUACGGGAGGCAGCAGUGAGGAAUAUUGGUCAAUGGGCGGAAGCCUGAACCAGCCAAGUAGCGUGCAGGAUGACGGCCCUAUGGGUUGUAAACUGCUUUUAUACAGGAAUAAAGUUAGCCACGUGUGGUUAUUUGUAGGUACUGUAUGAAUAAGGACCGGCUAAUUCCGUGCCAGCCGCCGCGGUAA